RNAcentral lists this transfer RNA (66 nucleotides) under Scylla serrata (giant mud crab). RNAcentral describes it as "tRNA-Tyr". It matches the Rfam family "tRNA". From Rfam's summary of the family: Transfer RNA (tRNA) molecules are approximately 80 nucleotides in length. Their secondary structure includes four short double-helical elements and three loops (D, anti-codon, and T loops). The record is from RNAcentral. Lineage: Eukaryota; Metazoa; Arthropoda; Malacostraca; Decapoda; Portunidae.
AAUAAGAUGGCUGAGUAAUAUAGGCGUUAGAUUGUAAAUCUAAAAACAAGUUAAACUUUCUUAUUA